GAUGAACGCUGGCGGCGUGCCUAAUACAUGCAAGUCGAGCGAACAGACGAGGAGCUUGCUCCUCUGACGUUAGCGGCGGACGGGUGAGUAACACGUGGAUAACCUACCUAUAAGACUGGGAUAACUUCGGGAAACCGGAGCUAAUACCGGAUAAUAUAUUGAACCGCAUGGUUCAAUAGUGAAAGACGGUUUUGCUGUCACUUAUAGAUGGAUCCGCGCCGCAUUAGCUAGUUGGUAAGGUAACGGCUUACCAAGGCAACGAUGCGUAGCCGACCUGAGAGGGUGAUCGGCCACACUGGAACUGAGACACGGUCCAGACUCCUACGGGAGGCAGCAGUAGGGAAUCUUCCGCAAUGGGCGAGAGCCUGACGGAGCAACGCCGCGUGAGUGAUGAAGGUCUUCGGAUCGUAAAACUCUGUUAUUAGGGAAGAACAAAUGCGUAAGUAACUAUGCACGUCUUGACGGUACCUAAUCAGAAAGCCACGGCUAACUACGUG
This 497-nucleotide ribosomal RNA is filed under the name uncultured bacterium. Its description in RNAcentral is "partial 16S ribosomal RNA". It matches the Rfam family "Bacterial small subunit ribosomal RNA", at positions 28 to 507 of the family's 1533-position model. The record is from RNAcentral.